This is a long non-coding RNA of Dioscorea cayenensis subsp. rotundata (Guinea yam), 5266 nucleotides long. RefSeq lists it as uncharacterized. The record is from RefSeq and is a predicted model, not a curated record. The transcript is spliced from 4 exons. NCBI's taxonomy places the organism in Eukaryota, Viridiplantae, Streptophyta, Magnoliopsida, Dioscoreales, Dioscoreaceae.
GCACAAUGUUUGGUAGUGUCUUCAGCAAUUGUCAAUUUUGGAAAUGAGAAAAAUGUGAGUUUUGAUGCUGUUGUCUGUGAAUUUGUGGGUUUUGACUUUAUUGUUUCUUUAUUGAGUUGAUUCCGAUUGAAAAUGGAAGCAAUAACUGUUUAAAGUUUGGUUUGCAAUGUCGUCGUUAACCUGAAACAGUCUAAUCUUUAAUUUGAAUAUAUUUAGGGGAUUGAUUUGUUUUGUGAACUUGUUGGUGCCUUGAGGAUUGUAAGAAAUUGGUUUUGUCGUGUGUACAACAAGAAUUGAAUUGAGAUACUGGUCAUAAGAGUUUGAAUAAAUUUAGUUGCAACAGAUCAGCAUCUAAAUAGAGGAUGUUUACUUAAAAGAAAAUUGCUGAAAUCAUUUGUAAAACAUCCAACUUAAAUUUUAUGUGAAGUGGAAUAAAGGCUAUUAUGUGUGAUGCAAAGACUAUGAUUCUGAAGAGCUAUGUUACUGAUAUUACAUUUCGUGAUGGGCUUAAGGUUGACUUGUAAUUCUCAGCUUAGAUUGAAUAUAAUAUGAGUGUAAGUUCAUAUGCAUUACCAUACAAGUAUUGGUUGUUUUGAGAACUUAAUCUGCUAUUUAGUUCUCUAGCUCAUCAAGAGUGUUAUAUUUUGAAGAGAAUUGGAUUAUAUAGGUUAUGCGUAUGAUAAUUAGUUUGAUUAAAGGCAUGUAUAAGCAGUGGUGUUAUUCACUCUACUAAAAAGUGUUCACAUUGACAUCUUGCUCCGAUUGCUCAUUCAUUUUUAAAUUGGUUCUCAUUGUAGUAGUCUUAUUGUGUAUUUUUUUUAAGGUUCGUACAAAUCAAUUAAGUAUAAUGCACUCUUGUACUUGAUGUUUGUAAAAUCACAAACAUUAAGUGCUUUAAAACCAAAUCAAAAUUAAUUAACCAUUAACAAAUAAGAGAAAGUCAGAACAUAACAUCUUUUACAUUCCUUGGGGUAAUCCCAGUCCUAGAAAGAAAGGUUCUACAUUCCUCUAUGUUCAAGAUACAACCCAUGGACAUUGAUCUGAACAUUUGACAGGAAAAUACAAGGCUUUAAAAGAAAAAAAUCUACUUAUCCUUUGCCAAUCGACGGAUCUACAUGGAUCCAAGCUUGAUGUUCUCUUUUCUUUGCUCUUAGUUGCUCUUUUGAUCCCCUCUCUUGGUUUUUAGAGAUGUCUCCUUUUUUAGCCCCCCGUCGUCCUUGUUGCCUUCUCUCCCCAGUGAUAUGCUAGGGUUUCUUUUUUAUAUCAUGAUACACGGGUGGUGUUGGCUAACAUCGGCUGCUUGUCUUACUUUCUGAGUUUGAUUUCUGAAUUUCUGCAUAAACACUGAAUACACCCAUGCUAAUUAACACAUGCCAAUCAUGUUUUAUUGGAUCUUUGCUUUACAUCCCCUUCUUAUUCCAUGAUCCUCCAUAACUUGCUCUUUGUUUUACCCUCCAAAAUACAUCGAACAUUUGUAGAUUUGGGGUUGAAUUCCACUUAUCAGGAUGAAAAUCAAUAGAAGCAGUAGUCCGAACAAGGAGAAAGAAAUCCAUACAGAAAUCAUGUAGAAUUGCGUGAUUGAACAACAAAUAAGACCAAAUUCAUAUUAGAACCUCAUGUAAUUUCUACACUUAUCAAUUUUUAUCCACUUUAACAUCUCUACUAACAACACCUUACGAGAGAAAGGACUUUUUUUCUCCUAGCUUUGAUACGUGCACAAAACACUCACUGGUAAAGAUUUUAAGAUGACUAACCUUAGGCUUAAAGUUAAUCAAGACCUCAUAAGGUGUCUUGUCUUCCAAUGCCUUAGUGUAAAGCUUGUUCUGUAGAUAAGCUGAUGUGUUGACAACUUCAGCUCAAAAUCUUUUGGGCAAAUUCUUUUUAAACUAUAAGCAUCUGGCCAUGUUCAAAACAGCUCAGUUCUUCCUCUCUAAACACCAUUUUGCUGUGGUGUAUAAGGAGCCGUUAAUUGGUGUUGUAUUCCAUGUAGCUGCAAAAAACUCUGAAAACUCUGUGAGCAAUAUUUGGCCCCAUUAUAUGAUCUUAAGAAUUUAAUUUUCUUGCCACUCUCGGUUUCAAUCAUGGUCUUAAAUUAAACGAAUAAAUUAAACAUAUCUAAUCUGUGCUUCAUAAAAUACACCCAAUAAUACAUGUUGUAAUCAUCAAUAGAUAGCACAAGAUAGUUGCUGACAUGCAAGGAUUCUGUACUCAUAAGACCACAAAUAUCAGUGUGUAUCAGCUCCAACUUCUCUUUUGCUCUCCUAGGUUGUUGAGAUGGUAAAAGCAAUCUGUGGCACUUUCCUUCUUCACAAACACCACAAAUAUGUGUAUAUGCAACAAUUGAAACCAUUUCCAGCACCAUCUCCUUCUUCUGCAUUUGUUUCAAGAAGUCCUAAUUACAGUGGCCAAAUCUUUUAUGCCGCAGUAUUGAUUCAUCAAGCGUUGUAGUCAUUGUUGUCUCCCACUUUAAAGGAAAACUAUGAUCCCUCAUUUUUACCGCCAUUUGCUUUUCUUCUUUCUUAUAAAAAAUUUCACAUAGUUGGCUAUGAAAACUUGACAACAUACCACCGUCUAAAAGUUGUCCCUUGUAGCUAAUUUCAAGCACAUAAAGAACAUUUGGAAAUAAUUUUGUACCUGAUGGCAUUUUGAUUAUGAUAGUACCUCUUCCUUCAACAACAACAACAUGUUAUCCAUUCCCAAUUCUAAACCCUUGACUUAUAAUUCCUGUCAAGAGCUUGAAAGAUGCUUGAAUCUGCACACAUAUGGUGUGUGUAUCCACUAAUUAGUAAGCAAGUUGGUAAAUCAUUGAUUGUUGAAUCUGUUUGUGCCAUAAAAAGCAACUCCUCUCAUUUCAUUUUUUUGCAACCUGAGCUGUUUUCUGCUUUUCCACAGUGUUACAAACCCUCUCUAUAUGUGCAAAUUGCUUACAUUUUUUGUAUUGUACCCUUGGUCGAAAUUAGCAAAAAUGUUUGGAGUGAUUGGUCUACUUGCAAUGAGGAAAAGGAGGAAACUCUCUCCACUUUCUGUUGCUACUUCCUUGUCGAAUCUGUUGCAUUCUCCCUGCAAAUUGUCUUCCAAAUUGCUUCAUAUUGGCAAACUUCCUUUCGGUAAACUGAUUCUGAUUUAUGCAAUCUUUAGAGGCCAGUAAAGUUUCUUCAGUUGUAUUUUUUGGUUCAUCCUUCUGUAACUUCCUCAUGUUCUACCUUUGCUCUACUGCAUGUAAAGCGUUCAUCAACUCAGUUAAACUAAAGGUUGUCACUUGCUGCUAUAGUGCCACCGUUGCCUUGCUUAUGCGUCUUUACAAGAGAAAGGGCAAUCUUUCAGAAGCCGAGUUUACCUUCAGCCACAUGAGAACCUGCAAAAUUUGCUGUGUCACUGCCUGCUCAUCAAUGAUCACGAUUUACACACCUUUAGGUAUGUAAGACAAGUGGCUCCAGAUUAUCCACUUUAUGGGUGAAGAUAAUGCGGCUUCAGAAUUGGAGAAUUGGUUAGUUUGUAUUAAUACCUACAGUCAGCAAGGUAAGCUGUGGAGGGUGUCUGUGCUGACAAUGAUGCAAGAAGCUGGAUAUUCCCCCAAUAUUUCUGUGUACAAUACCUUGAUUACGGGGCAUGGAAAGCAAACUAAUGUCAAGGCUGCAGAACUUGUAUUUCAAAGGCUCCAAACCAUAAGCUUGGAGCCUGCUAAAACGACAUAUAGGUCCAUGAUUGAAGGUUUUGGUAGAGCUGACUAUUAUAGAGAGGUUGUGCAAUAUUAUGUGGAAGUCAACUCAAGAGAUCAGGAUUUAAACCAAACUCUUCAAAUAUCUACAUGAUGGUCAACUUGCAUGCCAAUACUGCAGGUAUAUGAGAGUGACAGUGACAUUGUUCAAACACUAAAAGUUAUGAGGGUGGCUGGCUGCCAAUACUCGUCUAUAUUGAGUAGCCUUCUUCAGGGAUAUGAGAGGGUUGUCAGAUUAGAAAAAGUUCCUCAAAAUUUAAAAGUUUAUUUUUUACGAUGGAAUUUUGGGGGACCAAGCCUCAACUUCCAUGUUAGUCAUGUCCUAUGUACAGAAUUCCCUUUGGAUGAUGACCUCCAUGCUUUGCAGGGACAAGGGUGGAAACAUUGAACCUAUAAAGACAGAUUGUACUAUAUACUGUGAACUUCAUUGCCGAACUUGGUUUACGAUGAAUAUUACUUCCUGUUUGAACCUAGUGAUAUCAGAUUUUUCUGGUGUUGUCAAUUAUGUCCUCUUGUUGCCCAAUGGUUGGAUACAUAAAUUCCACCUGAGAAUGGUGUCUAAAAAAUGAUAUGAAUGCAUUCCAAAGUGGAUCCUUAUGGUAUCAAGAAAGACAAUCCAAGAAUUCAGACUAGAACUAUUUCAACAACCUCGCUACAGGGUCCAUUCUUGUCUCUGCUCUUGUCUUGAACUCCAUCAUCUUCAUCUAUGUGACUGCACAGUUAUUCUGUUCAGAAGUUUCAAAGGUUUUGACAAGUUGAAAACUCUUCAACUCUCUUGUGUCACAACUUCUGAUGGUGAACUAAGCUCUUUGUUUUCAACGAGUACUCGGUUACAAAACCUGGAAGUGUGCUGCUAUGCUUCUAUGUUCUCAAUAUUAAUGUGCAAAUGAAAAAGCAACAGAUAUCAAUUCUUCAAGUGUGUCAACCUUUGGCGCAUCUGAAACUUUAUUUCUGCCAGCUUCUUGUGCUUCAAAUAUCUGAGCGGGUUGGUGACUCUUUGGCUUUCUCGUGUAAAGAUUUCACAUGAAAGAUUAAAGAAUUUUAUUUCUAGCUACCCUCAGUUAAAGGAGUUACAACUUCAAGCGUGGGAAGAUUUCAAUGAUCUGAGUGUUCAAUGUUUAAGGAUCUUGCGUGCUUCCAAGCAUCUCCAUUUGGUAGCUCUUCCACUUAAUGGUGUAUCUCUCAACCUACUAUCUUGUAACUGACACAAACAUGCCAAACUUUGUUCUGAAAUUCAAUGAAGAUGAAUAAUCAACUCCUGAAGGUAUUGGCAAAUUCAUGUUCAAAAGUUAUAUUCCCGUUGCUAAUUUCUCUUUCCUUGUAACAUUUGGAGAUAUGAUCAGUGAGUAUUUCCAUUGCUGAUCCACAAAUGAAGAUAAGUUUAUUGUGCAAAUGAAAGUUCGUGGUGGUGAGCUUAUUGUACCUCAAAAUUUCGAAGGCUUGGACAAGUUGAAGAUUCUUGAACUUAAUGAUUCUCCAAUGUUUGAAGAUAAAUGGUUUCAAACAUCUCCAUUUGGUUGCUCCUCUACUACAUAAUGCAUCUUUCAA